This 253-nucleotide ribosomal RNA is filed under the name uncultured bacterium. RNAcentral describes it as "partial 16S ribosomal RNA". It matches the Rfam family "Bacterial small subunit ribosomal RNA", at positions 524 to 776 of the family's 1533-position model. The record is from RNAcentral.
UACGGAGGGUGCGAGCGUUGUCCGGAAUCAUUGGGCGUAAAGGGCGCGUAGGUGGCCCGGUCAGUCCGUGGUGAAAUCUCCCGGCUUAACCGGGAGGGGUUAUGCCAGACUGCAAUUCUAGAGGACGAGAGAGGGGGGUGGAAUUCCGGGUGUAGUGGUGAAAUGCGUAGAGAUCCGGAGGAACCCCAGAGGCGAAGGCGGCCCCCUGGCUCGUACCUGACGCUCAGCCACGAAAGCAUGGGGAGCGAACGGG